CAAAAUUGGGGAAGUCGAAUUUAUAGCUUUUAAACCUACGUUAUCGAAAUGUAUUAUGAAUAUCGACCAAAAGCGUCUAUAAAAACCUUUUAAUUGGCUAUAGAUAAUUAGAACGUGAUAAUGUUGAUAUAAAGUUGCUAAUUUAAUCAAAUGAAUUAUAUUUGGUGACACUUCUCAAUUCAAAAUGGGCAAGUCGAACUUUAUUGCAUCUAUACUUAUGUUAUUUUUAAAGAGAAAUAUAGAAUGAAUUUCAUCCAAAAGCGUCUAGAAAAAACUAUUAGUUAGUUAGAAAUAAUGAAAACGUAAUAAAGUUGAUAAAAAGUUGCUAAUAUAAUCAAAUAAAUUAUAUUUGGUGCCACUUUUGAAUUCAAACUUGACGAAGUCGAAUUUAUACCCUUUAAACUUACGUUAUCGAAAUGUAUAAUGAAAUUCGACCAAAAACAUCUAUAAAACCCUUUUAAUUGGCUAUAUAGAAUGAGAACGUGAUAAUAUUGAUAUAAAGUUGCUAAUUUAAUUAAAUGAAUUAUAUUUGGUGACACUUCUCAAUUCAAAUUGGGCAAGUCGAACUUUAUUGCAUCUAUACUUAUUUAUUUUUGAAGAGAAAUAUAGAAUGAAUUUCAUUCAAAAGCGUCAAGAAAAAACUCUUAGUUAGUUAUAAAUAAUGAAAAUGUAAUAAAGUUGAUAAAAAGUUGCUAAUAUAAUCAACUAAAUUGUAUUUGGUGACACUUUUAAAUUCAAAAUUGGGGAAGUCGAAUUUAUAGCCUUCAAACUUACGUUAUCGAAAUGUAUAAUUAAAUUCGACCAAAAGCGUCUAUUAUAACAUUUUAAUUGGCUAUAUAGAAUGAGAACGUGAUAAUGUUGGUAUAAAGUUGCUAAUUUAAUCAAAUUAAUUAUAUUUGGUGACACUUCUUUAUUCAAAUUGGUCAAGUGGAACUUUAUUGCAUCUAAACUUAUGUUAUUUUUAAAGAGAAAUAUAGAAUGAAUUUCAUCCAAAAGCGUCAAGAAAAACCUGUUUGUUAGUUAUAAAUAAUGAAAACGUAAUAAAGUUGAUAAAAAGUUGCUAAUAUAAUCAAAUAAAUUAUAUUUGGUGCCACUUUUGAAUUCAAAAUUGGGGAAGUCGAAUUUAUAGCCUCUAAACUUACGUUAUCGAAAUGUAUAAU
RNAcentral lists this long non-coding RNA (1160 nucleotides) under Lactuca sativa (garden lettuce). Its description in RNAcentral is "long non-coding RNA (LSAT_LNC010223)". The record is from RNAcentral. Lineage: Eukaryota; Viridiplantae; Streptophyta; Magnoliopsida; Asterales; Asteraceae.